Non-coding RNA from Pimephales promelas (fathead minnow), 576 nucleotides. Lineage: Eukaryota; Metazoa; Chordata; Actinopteri; Cypriniformes; Leuciscidae. The record is from RefSeq and is a predicted model, not a curated record.
UGAACGCGCGUCUCUCUCUCGUCACAAACAGAAAGUGAAAGUUAGUUUUCCUGUCGCCAAUUGAGCUGGAAAAAUACAAUACGACAUGAAAAACAGAGCAUCAAGUGUUUAUCAACGCUUAAGAAUUAAUUUACUUGUAGUUUUAUGAUGUUAAAGCUGGAGGAUUUGAGAUCCUGUAUCUUGUAAAAGUUUGAUCAAGAGUCAGUGGAGGAGAUCAAACUCAACAGAUUCUCCUGAUCUUCAUCAUGGCUGAUUCACAAGCAUCCAGAGACGGAGAUUUCUCUCCAGGACACAGUUCAGUCCAGCAGAAGAGCUCAAACCCAGAGUCCAGCUGUGUGUCUGUGAAGAGUGACUGGUCUAUGGAUAAGCCAAUAAAGUUUAAGAGUGGAGACACACGGCCUAAUCUCAGGUAUAUCAUUUAUAUAAAAGAUGUGCAAUAGUGACACUUCUGAAUUAGACUCAUAAUUGAUCUUUGAAUUAGACUCAUUAUCUUAUAUUACGGGACAUGUAGGUAAACUACAAACUGGAAGGUUGGUGGCUCAAUCCCCGGUUCCACCUGACCAAGUGUCAAGGUGU